Molecule: long non-coding RNA, 201 nt
Filed under: Homo sapiens (human)
Lineage: Eukaryota; Metazoa; Chordata; Mammalia; Primates; Hominidae
Description: HSALNT0176170
Source: RNAcentral
CUGGCAUCUUGAAUUUAGGGCCCUUCAGUUUCGCAUCUGGACCUUCAAUAUUCACAUCUGGAACAUCAACGUCCACCUUGGGUCCUGAGACGUCAAGGUCAGCCUUGGGCAGAUUCACAUCCACUUCAGGGCCCUCUGCUUUGAAGCCAGGCAUACUGAACUUGGGCAUUUUCAUCUUGGGCAUUUUCAGGUGCCAAUCUG